This 448-nucleotide small RNA is filed under the name Cryptococcus neoformans H99. RNAcentral describes it as "Cryptococcus neoformans var. grubii H99 hypothetical RNA". The record is from RNAcentral. Lineage: Eukaryota; Fungi; Basidiomycota; Tremellomycetes; Tremellales; Cryptococcaceae.
CGGGUUAGCCUUGUCUGCCUCGUCUCUAAUCACUAACAAAUCAACCUUAACAACAAUUUUUUCAACGACAGACCGAUAACUAAAACAAAAAAUGUCCAACUCCCAAUCCUCAACGCCAUCCACUGUCGGUGAAGCUAGUAAUAGUACUGCCUUCUCCAGCUAUCAGUUAUUAUCUAGUCAAUACUUCCCGGACGAAUAUGAGUCCAAAGUUCCCCCAGCCGAGACUAUUACCACUUCGUCGCCUUCCCAAAGUGGUUCAUAUAUCUCCACGAUCAGUAGUUACAUCACAAGCGCGUUUUCGUCCUCGAAACCUGAGAACAAGUGAAACUGGUCCAAAAAUUGAAAGGACGUAUUAAGAGAAACCGAGCAAGGGAGGGAUGAAGGGAAUAGGGUGUUGGUUAGAGCAUUAUCAGCAGUAAAAGAAAACUAUGAACACGAAUGUUGGCCG